UUCUCUGGUUGAUCCUGCCAGAGGUUACUGCUAUCGAGGUUCGACUAAGCCAUGCGAGUCGAAUGUAGCAAUACAUGGCGUACUGCUCAGUAACACGUGGACAACCUGCCCUUGAGACGGGGAUAAACCCGGGAAACUGGGUAUAAUACCCGAUAGAUCUCGAUUGCUGGAAUGCAUCGAGCUUGAAAGCUCCGGCGCUCAAGGAUGGGUCUGCGGCCUAUCAGGUAGUAGUGGGUGUAGCGUACCUACUAGCCUACGACGGGUACGGGUUGUGAGAGCAAGAGCCCGGAGAUGGAUUCUGAGACACGAAUCCAGGCCCUACGGGGUGCAGCAGGCGCGAAAACUUUACAAUGCUGGAAACAGCGAUAAGGGGACCUCGAGUGCCAGGUUACAAAUCUGGCUGUCGUGAUGCAUAAAAAGCAUUGCAUAGCAAGGGCCGGGCAAGACCGGUGCCAGCCGCCGCGGUAACACCGGCGGCUCGAGUGGUAACCGUUAUUAUUGGGUCUAAAGGGUCUGUAGCCGGCCGGAUAAGUCUCUUGGGAAAUCUGGCAGCUUAACUGUCAGGCUUUCAGGAGAUACUGUCUGGCUCGAGGCCGGGAGAGGUGAGAGGUACUUCAGGGGUAGGGGUGAAAUCUUGUAAUCCUUGAAGGACCACCAGUGGCGAAGGCGUCUCACCAGAACGGACCUGACGGCAAGGGACGAAAGCUAGGGGCACGAACCGGAUUAGAUACCCGGGUAGUCCUAGCCGUAAACGAUACUCGCUAGGUGUCGGCAACGGUGCGACCGUUGUCGGUGCCGUAGGGAAGCCGUGAAGCGAGCCACCUGGGAAGUACGGCCGCAAGGCUGAAACUUAAAGGAAUUGGCGGG
This 867-nucleotide ribosomal RNA is filed under the name uncultured archaeon. Its description in RNAcentral is "bacterial SSU rRNA". It matches the Rfam family "Archaeal small subunit ribosomal RNA", at positions 1 to 872 of the family's 1478-position model. The record is from RNAcentral.